UAGGGAAUCUUCGGCAAUGGACGAAAGUCUGACCGAGCAACGCCGCGUGAGUGAAGAAGGUUUUCGGAUCGUAAAACUCUGUUGUUAGAGAAGAACAAGGACGUUAGUAACUGAACGUCCCCUGACGGUAUCUAACCAGAAAGCCACGGCUAACUACGUUCCAGCAGCCGCGGUAAUACGUAGGUGGCAAGCGUUGUCCGGAUUUAUUGGGCGUAAAGCGAGCGCAGGCGGUUUCUUAAGUCUGAUGUGAAAGCCCCCGGCUCAACCGGGGAGGGUCAUUGGAAACUGGGAGACUUGAGUGCAGAAGAGGGGAGUGGAAUUCCAUGUGUAGCGGUGUAAUGCGUAGAUAUAUGGAGGAACACCAGUGGCGAAGGCGGCUCUCUGGUCUGUCACUGACGCUGAGGCUCGAAAGCGUGGGGAGCAAACAGG
This 429-nucleotide ribosomal RNA is filed under the name Gemmatimonadota bacterium. RNAcentral describes it as "Gemmatimonadetes bacterium partial 16S ribosomal RNA". It matches the Rfam family "Bacterial small subunit ribosomal RNA", at positions 355 to 776 of the family's 1533-position model. The record is from RNAcentral. Lineage: Bacteria; Pseudomonadati; Gemmatimonadota.